Molecule: microRNA precursor, 66 nt
Filed under: Strongylocentrotus purpuratus (purple sea urchin)
Lineage: Eukaryota; Metazoa; Echinodermata; Echinoidea; Camarodonta; Strongylocentrotidae
Description: Spu-Mir-92-o15_pre stem-loop
Source: RNAcentral
UGGUCGUGAGGAGUUGCAAUUUGUCCACAUGAUAAUAAUCAUCAUAUUGCACUCGUCCCGGCCUGC